AACGAACGCUGGCGGCAGGCCUAACACAUGCAAGUCGAGCGCCCCGCAAGGGGAGCGGCAGACGGGUGAGUAACACGUGGGAACCUUCCCUAUAGUACGGAAUAGCCCAGGGAAACUUGGAGUAAUACCGUAUACGCCCGAGAGGGGAAAGAUUUAUCGCUAUAGGAUGGGCCCGCGUAGGAUUAGCUAGUUGGUGAGGUAAUGGCUCACCAAGGCGACGAUCCUUAGCUGGUCUGAGAGGACGACCAGCCACACUGGGACUGAGACACGGCCCAGACUCCUACGGGAGGCAGCAGUGGGGAAUAUUGGACAAUGGGCGCAAGCCUGAUCCAGCCAUGCCGCGUGAGUGAUGAAGGCCUUAGGGUUGUAAAGCUCUUUUUGCCGGGGACGAUAAUGACGGUACCCGGAGAAUAAGUCCCGGCUAACUUCGUGCCAGCCGCCGCCGUAAU
This 449-nucleotide ribosomal RNA is filed under the name uncultured bacterium. Its description in RNAcentral is "bacterial SSU rRNA". It matches the Rfam family "Bacterial small subunit ribosomal RNA", at positions 29 to 524 of the family's 1533-position model. The record is from RNAcentral.